RNAcentral lists this long non-coding RNA (567 nucleotides) under Elaeis guineensis (African oil palm). Its description in RNAcentral is "long non-coding RNA (EGUI_LNC028703)". The record is from RNAcentral. Lineage: Eukaryota; Viridiplantae; Streptophyta; Magnoliopsida; Arecales; Arecaceae.
UCCCCAGCUUAGUUCUUCAUUUGAUGCCUAUACUUUCAGGUUCUACCCAAAGAAAGAUACGUAUAAUUUGAGGAGGCAUUUGUGUCUGAUGAUCCAUGUAGUUAUUGUUCAUCUACGUGUGCAACUAGAUUUGCAUUUUGUUUCACGUCUAAAAGAUGCAGUUUAGAUAUCUAGGUAUUCAGUGUAAUCAAUUCAUGCGGACUGCGAUAGUUGCUAGCUAUGUAACCCAACCAGAAGGGCAAAGAAGAUGUGUUCAGUUGGUGGUCCCCUUCGAUAGCGCCAACCAUUUUUGGUUAGGGAUAUAUUUGGUUGUGAGAGAAUCCAUGAAAGAAGGAAAAAGGAAUGUAAAACUGUUCCAUGAAAAUAAAAAUUAAAAAAAAAAGGAGAAAAACCAAACAUCUAGACUCAUUGAUUUACUAUAGAAACAAUUAAAAAUAAUUUUUUGAAAAAAAUAAUUUUCUUAUAAGUAAAAUAUAUUGUUAAAGCUUAUCAUGUCCUGCUCUCAUGCAAUUCUUGGCUGAAUUUCUUUCUAUUCUAGUUCUAAAAAACUAAAAAAAGAAAUAACAA